GAUGCCCAGUUCAAUUUGAAAUUGAGACGAAUGACAAAUAUUUUUUUUAGCAUAAGUAUGCCCCAUGCAAUGUUUGAGACAUACUUAUACUAAAAAUUAUUUAUUGCUAAUCUGAAUUUCAAAUUUAACUGGAUGUCCUAUAUUUU
This 146-nucleotide microRNA precursor is filed under the name Myotis lucifugus (little brown bat). RNAcentral describes it as "miRNA (ENSMLUG00000020517.2)". The stretch from base 44 to 95 matches the Rfam family "mir-1302 microRNA precursor family". The record is from RNAcentral. Lineage: Eukaryota; Metazoa; Chordata; Mammalia; Chiroptera; Vespertilionidae.